Molecule: ribosomal RNA, 396 nt
Filed under: uncultured bacterium
Lineage: Bacteria
Description: partial 16S ribosomal RNA
Rfam family: Bacterial small subunit ribosomal RNA
Source: RNAcentral
AUACGUAGGUGGCAAGCGUUGUCCGGAUUUACUGGGUGUGAAGGGCGCGUAGGCGGGAUGGCAAGUCAGAUGUGAAAUCUUCGGGCUCAACCCGGAAACUGCAUUUGAAACUGUCGUUCUUGAGUAUCGGAGAGGCAAGCGGAAUUACUAGUGUAGCGGUGAAAUGCGUAGAUAUUAGGAGGAACACCAGUGGCGAAGGCGGCUUGCUGGACGACAACUGACGCUGAGGCGCGAAAGCGUGGGGAGCAAACAGGAUUAGAUCCCCUGGUAGUCCACGCCGUAAACGAUGAAUACUAGGUGUGGGGGGACUGACCCCCUCCGUGCCGCAGUUAACACAAUAAGUAUUCCACCUGGGGAGUACGGCCGCAAGGUUGAAACUCAAAUGAAUUGACGGGG